RNAcentral lists this ribosomal RNA (492 nucleotides) under uncultured bacterium. Its description in RNAcentral is "bacterial SSU rRNA". It matches the Rfam family "Bacterial small subunit ribosomal RNA", at positions 899 to 1397 of the family's 1533-position model. The record is from RNAcentral.
ACUCAAAUGAAUUGACGGGCACCCGCACAAGCGGUGGAGCAUGCUGUUUAAUUCGAAGAUACGCGAAGAACCUUACCUAGACUUGACAUCCCCGGCAAAGCUAUAGAAAUAUAGUAGAGGUUACCCGGGUGACAGGUGGUGCAUGGUUGUCGUCAGCUCGUGUCGUGAGAUGUUCGGUUAAGUCCGAUAACGAGCGCAACCCUUAUUAUUAGUUACUAACAUUUAGUUGAGGACUCUAAUGAUACUGCCGGUGAUAAACCGGAGGAAGGUGGGGAUGACGUCAAAUCAUCAUGCCCCUUACGUCUAGGGCUACAGGCGUGCUACAAUGGCCAAUACAAAGAGUCGCAAUACCGUAAGGUGGAGCUAAUCUCUAAAGUUGGUCUCAGUUCGGAUUGAGGUCUGCAACUCGACCUCAUGAAGCUGGAAUCGCUAGUAAUCCUGAAUCAGAAUGUCAGGGUGAAUACGUUCCCGGGUGUUGUACACACCGCCCGU